This is a long non-coding RNA of Salvelinus namaycush (lake trout), 1508 nucleotides long. RefSeq lists it as uncharacterized. The record is from RefSeq and is a predicted model, not a curated record. The transcript is spliced from 5 exons. NCBI's taxonomy places the organism in Eukaryota, Metazoa, Chordata, Actinopteri, Salmoniformes, Salmonidae.
ACACAGCUCAAUGGUGAAUGGGUGUUCUCACUGUGUUGACCCUAUUGUUGCGAUGGUGAGCCAGUUUUACUCCAUUUCACACCUUGUUUUUUUAGCGCCAGGGGACAGGGUUUUCCUUAAAUACAUGUGACAGAGCACCUAGUGUGGGUUGAAGUUAUGAUGGGUCUCACAAACACUGUGGAUAAAGUGGAUUCAGGAAAAGCUAAAUGCGGGCUAGCCCCUGCUCUGGCCUACUCAGAGGAGAUGUGGCAGAACACACGUGUUGUGUUCCAUCACUGUCUGGAGGGAUUCCACAGCUGGAGAGGAAGGAACACCUCUGUGUGUGACAUCACCGGGAAGUGGCAGGCUUCCACACUGCAAUGCCAAGAAAUCAAGCCUGCCAUCAGCGACUUGGUUGUUUUAAUGAAAAAUGUUUGCGUUGGAAUGCAGACAAGUAUGAAGAAGACACAGAACAUUACAGAGUAGCAUUUGCAGGAUUCAGGGACAAUCAAAGGUCAUUCCAUGACAAGAGGAAAGCUCCACAGCUCCACUUCAGACCUUCCUGAUAUCCACCUGAACCUGCUGCCUGUUACCAGCUAUACCAUCAGCAUCACUGCACUGUGCAGGUUCACUUCCACGGUCACAGCUAACACCAGCCUACAACAAACAACCUCAACUAACAAUAACAGUUUGAUGAUUAAAUAUUUUAAGUUUCUUCCAGGUGCCACUGGAGGGGACCCGUGUGUUUGACUGCAGCUCUCCUAAGAAUCCAGUCUCCUCCAGUCAGAGGAAGUCCCAUGGACAGUACGUCACUGCCCAGGUCCAUCUGAGGGAUGAGGGGAAAGAGAUUACCCUACUAUGAUUUCUUCUACAACGCUCCACUACAGAAUGGCAGAGACUAUUACAUCAUAUUACAAGUUGUCAGUCAAUGGGGAGGGGUAAGACCAACUGCUAUGCAUUAAAAAUAAAUUAUAUGUGGAGUUUAUUCAUCAAAAAGGAAUGACAGUUUUGAAGGUCUUUAACAAAGUUAUAUUGAUUGUUGAUCUUAUUGAUCUCCUGUGCUAUUAGUCAUACUGUGCCAUUUGAACUAUUUUCUAGGAUUUCAAGCACACUUGUGUUAUUUGGGCAAAAGGGAGAGGUACGGUUACCUUUCCUCAUCUUUAUCCCUUUGGCUUUGUUGUGGUUUAAUCAGAUUGUUGUAAGAUGUUUUCUCUCGUUUGGUAGGUACAUCCUACAUAAUGAAGGUUUCAUCACUUUUUGCUGGAGGAUCAAUUGGAGUCUUUGCUUUGGUCAUUGUUGUGUGUAUGCCUAAUUAUGACAUGUUCUAUAUGUGCAAUUCUUUUUCAGUAUAUUGAUCAAAUCUGACUUAAUACAUCGCCUACUAAACAUUUUGUAUCCCUUUGUCAGGUUUUGUAAGAAGACAUGACAGUCAUCGUGAUAACUGACUUUUUCAGAUGGGUCACACUUGGUAAUAUCAGCAUAAUGUUCAACGACAUCUAUCUGUAAAAUUGUGACUGUGUAAAAAAUGU